This 503-nucleotide ribosomal RNA is filed under the name uncultured bacterium. Its description in RNAcentral is "partial 16S ribosomal RNA". It matches the Rfam family "Bacterial small subunit ribosomal RNA", at positions 30 to 523 of the family's 1533-position model. The record is from RNAcentral.
AUUGAACGCUGGCGGCAGGCUUAACACAUGCAAGUCGAGCGGGGUGAUGGUGCUUGCACUAUCACUUAGCGGCGGACGGGUGAGUAAUGCUUAGGAAUCUGCCUAUUAGUGGGGGACAACAUCUCGAAAGGGAUGCUAAUACCGCAUACGUCCUACGGGAGAAAGCAGGGGAUCACUUGUGACCUUGCGCUAAUAGAUGAGCCUAAGUCGGAUUAGCUAGUUGGUGGGGUAAAGGCAUACCAAGGCGACGAUCUGUAGCGGGUCUGAGAGGAUGAUCAGCCACACUGGGACUGAGACACGGCCCAGACUCCUACGGGAGGUAGCAGUGGGGAAUAUUGGACAAUGGGGGGAACCCUGAUCCAGCCAUGCAGCGUGUGUGAAAAAGGCCUUAUGGUUGUAAAGCACUUUAAGCGAGGAGGAGGCUCUUUUGGUUAAUACCCAAGAUGAGUGGACGUUACUCGCAGAAUAAGCACCGGCUAACUCUGUGCCAGCCGCCGCAGUAA